UGGAUAACCUACCUAUAAGACUGGGAUAACUUCGGGAAACCGGAGCUAAUACCGGAUAAUAUUUUGAACCGCAUGGUUCAAAAGUGAAAGACGGUCUUGCUGUCACUUAUAGAUGGAUCCGCGCUGCAUUAGCUAGUUGGUAAGGUAACGGCUUACCAAGGCAACGAUGCAUAGCCGACCUGAGAGGGUGAUCGGCCACACUGGAACUGAGACACGGUCCAGACUCCUACGGGAGGCAGCAGUAGGGAAUCUUCCGCAAUGGGCGAAAGCCUGACGGAGCAACGCCGCGUGAGUGAUGAAGGUCUUCGGAUCGUAAAACUCUGUUAUUAGGGAAGAACAUAUGUGUAAGUAACUGUGCACAUCUUGACGGUACCUAAUCAGAAAGCCACGGCUAACUACGUGCCAGCAGCCGCGGUAAUACGUAGGUGGCAAGCGUUAUCCGGAAUUAUUGGGCGUAAAGCGCGCGUAGGCGGUUUUUUAAGUCUGAUGUGAAAGCCCACGGCUCAACCGUGGAGGGUCAUUGGAAACUGGAAAACUUGAGUGCAGAAGAGGAAAGUGGAAUUCCAUGUGUAGCGGUGAAAUGCGCAGAGAUAUGGAGG
Molecule: ribosomal RNA, 599 nt
Filed under: uncultured Staphylococcus sp.
Lineage: Bacteria; Bacillati; Bacillota; Bacilli; Caryophanales; Staphylococcaceae
Description: bacterial SSU rRNA
Rfam family: Bacterial small subunit ribosomal RNA
Source: RNAcentral